RNAcentral lists this unclassified non-coding RNA (376 nucleotides) under uncultured Actinomycetes bacterium. RNAcentral's name for it is "uncultured actinobacterium contains 16S-23S intergenic spacer region". The record is from RNAcentral. Lineage: Bacteria; Bacillati; Actinomycetota; Actinomycetes.
UCCGGUUUGUCACCGGCAGUCUCCUUAGAGUGCCCAACUGAAUGCUGGCAACUAAGGACAAGGGUUGCGCUCGUUGCGGGACUUAACCCAACAUCUCACGACACGAGCUGACGACAACCAUGCACCACCUGUUCACAGACCCUUGCGGACCCCACAUCUCUGUAGGAUUUCUGUGAAUGUCAAGCCUUGGUAAGGUUCUUCGCGUCGCAUCGAAUUAAGCCACAUGCUCCGCCGCUUGUGCGGGCCCCCGUCAAUUCCUUUGAGUUUUAGCCUUGCGGCCGUACUCCCCAGGCGGGGCGCUUAAUGCGUUAGCUGCGGCACAGAGGACGUGGAAGGUCCCCCACACCUAGCGCCCAACGUUUACGGCGUGGACUAC